Long non-coding RNA from Oncorhynchus tshawytscha (Chinook salmon), 560 nucleotides. NCBI's taxonomy places the organism in Eukaryota, Metazoa, Chordata, Actinopteri, Salmoniformes, Salmonidae. The record is from Ensembl.
GGGGGCUGCCUUAACCACCCAUCAACAAUCGUUGUUGGGGAUUACCUGCCUUGGUCAAACAACGGCAGAUUUUUCCACCUUGCCGUCUCAGGGAUUCAUACCAGCGACCUUUCGGUUACUGGCCCAAUGCUCUUAACCGCUAGGCUACCUGCCGCCCGGAAUUGCUCCGUCCACGACCACAAGGCCCUCCAGCUGGUGGUGAAGAUGGCCCAGUACAUCAGUGGAACCGUGCUUCCACCCAUCCAGGAAGGUGCCUGAGGAAGGGAUGCAGCUUCAUCAUUGACCCCACACACCGUCGGGCAGACGGUAUCGGAGCAUGAGGUGUGAUACCAACAGGCUCAGAGACAGUUUCUAUCUACAAGCCAUCAGACUGUAUCAGAGCAUGAGGUCCGAUACCAACAGGCUCAGAGACAGUUUCUAUCUACAAGCCAUCAGACGGUAUCAGAGCAUGAGGUCCGAUACCAACAGGCUCAGAGACCGUUUCUAUCUCCAAGCCCAUCAGACUGUAUCAGAGCAUGAGGUCCGAUACCAACAGGCUCAGAGACCGUUUCUAUCUCCAA